RNAcentral lists this long non-coding RNA (7737 nucleotides) under Malus domestica (apple). Its description in RNAcentral is "long non-coding RNA (MDOM_LNC000842)". Lineage: Eukaryota; Viridiplantae; Streptophyta; Magnoliopsida; Rosales; Rosaceae. The record is from RNAcentral.
CUUUAAAAUAAAUGGGGGAAUGAUUUUGACGAAAUUAAAACUUUAAAACUUAAACCUUGAAAACAAACUUAAAGCAAAACAGAUUGUGAUUAAAUAGAAUGGUGAGAAGCUAGUUAGAGGGUUCUUUAUCCACACAUGAACAUAUGCAUAUAAUUUGAUUCCCAGUUAUGACUUCAACAAACAAUGAAUGACAAUGCUUCAAGUUAAUUAGGUUCGCUUAAAUUAACUUUCAGAUUUCCCUAGAUUCAUUGGAUUGAAUGGGAUACGCAUUACAACCAAAUUAUUCCUCAUCAAAGCCCCUAACUAUGGAAUACGCAUGAUAGAGACAUUCAACAAAGAUCAUUAAGUUCAACGGAAAUCAUAAACAUCGACUAGGCAUUCAUAACUAUGGAAUACGCAUGUUAAUCCAACCUAGGGUUUACUUAAACACAAUCGUGACUAGCGAUCUUUACUACUCAUGAAUAUAAGUUCAUAACGAUUAGGUGAAAUUCCCUUAUAUCCUAGCAUCAAGUUUAGGCAUGCAAAUUAAGUGUCGACCCUCAACCCACAUACAUAAACAAGUUCUUAAUCAAAACAGAAAAGUAAACCACAUCUAAAGUUCAUGAAUUCAUAACUGGAGUAAAUCAAAUCAUAACCAACAUAUGUCCAUGGCUUCAAAUUCGCCUCUAACUAAAAAGAAAUUAGUUCCACAUGUUUAACAUAAUUGAAAAGCAAGUUAAAUUAAACAUGAAAACAGAAACAAGAGAAGAAAAAACUCUUAAAACUCCCAAAGAUGCAGAUGGCUUGCGCACAAGGCCCUCAUUCAUCAAUGGAAUGCACGACAAGGCUCUCCUUCUUCUCCAAAAGGUGCGGCAGAGAUGUGUAGAAUGCACGACAAGGCUCUCCUUCUUCUCCAAAAGGUGCGGCAGAGAUGUGUAUGGAUGUAGGAUGGGGUUUUGUGAUGUAGAAUGGUGAUUAGGGUUGCGGCAAGGUGUGUUUGAAUGGUGUGAAGGGGUGGUGAUGAAUUUAGGCUUAAAAUACAUAUAUAUAGGCACCACAAACCCUAAAGAAAUCAGGUUAGACAAUGGGCUAGGGUUUAGGUGCGGCUAGGGUUAGAGAUGGGCCUUCUAGAAUGCCUUGCAAGGCAAGGAAAUAGGUGUUCUAGAAGGCUAGGUGCGGCUGAUUAGUGGGCUAGGGUUAGGGUUUGUAGAUAGGGCUUCUAGAAAGCCCAAAACCAAGAAUAGAAACUCUCGAAAAUGGAAACCUCUAAGAAUAGAAACUUCCAACUUUAGAAACUUUGGUUGCCAAUUCCGACUUCUUUGUUCUUCACUUUCAUUUCUUCAUUUCUUAAGCUCCUUUGACCUUCAAACUCGUCCAUUCCUUGUGCUCCAUAAGCAUACACUCCAUUCCAGCUCAAUUUUGCUCUCAAAUGCUCCAAAUUGCAUCAUUUUAUGUAAUAUGCUCUUAAAACCUGAAAACACAUGAAACUAACUUAAAAGACUACUUUAAACUAAGAAAACAUAACUAAAAUGCAUAAGAACUAGCUAACUAAGGCGCAUAAAUAUGCUCCUAUCAAAUUCCCCCACACUUAGCUUUUGCUAGUCCUCGAGCAAAAUAAAGAAUUAAAGAAAAACAAAACGAACAAAACAAACAAAACAGUAAACCUUCCAACAUUUACCUCAGGGAUUUCCAAUACACAUGACAUGUUAAAAAUCAUCAUUCCCACAGAUUUUAGUCAUCUUUACACUUAAGCACACACUUAAUCAUAGUCACCACGUACUAGUUCACAUUUAACCAAUUAAAACAUGAUUUUGAACGUAGUAACAUGCCUUAGAGAAUUUGCUCAAUUCCUUACUAGAUAUGCACUCCAUGUUCACACAGAUUUUCUGACUACACACCCUAUACUAGUUAUAUGUGAGAAGAGUGAUGUAAAUAUAAAAACGAAUGCUCACAUAUGUUAUAACAAGGAAAGCUUUUUCUGAAUUUAAUAAGCAUGUAUAUGAUCUCAUGAAAGGAAUGCUACUACUUAGACGCGAGAACCAGUGACACCAUAUGCUCAUACCAAUCCCAAACUCCACAAAUUGAAAUACACAACACUCAAGAUAGAAGUUAAGGGUUGUAACGGGGCUUGGGGUAUUGGCUAACAAAGAAAGGUGAAGGGUAAACAAACGUUCUUAAAACAAUAGUAAGCAAAGCAAUGAAAUUGACUCUUCGAAUUCACUUUUGAAUGCAAAAAUCAACUUUUAAACUCAAAGGGGAAAUUCAUGCAACUCUUGGGGUCAAAUUCAAUGUUUUGGACCCCUUCUUCAACAACCAACACCUUAGAGCUCAUUUCCAUGCUCUUUCAACUCUUUUUCACACUUUUCUCAACAUUUUUCUUUUUUUUUCUUCUUUUUUCUACGAAUUUUCUUUCUUUUUUUUUUCUCGUGCCUCAAAAUAGACUUUGGCACAUCCACCUAACAAAAAUCCUUCCCCCACACUUGUUUUCUGCACACACCUACGUAUAACUUGGUCAGGGCAAUAUUUCCAUAAAUACGGGUCAUCCCACACAUAAAACCGUGCCUCUUUCUUCAAUUUAUCACCUUGGUGUUUAAGUAAUUCACUAGGAACAUGUUUAGACACCAAAUAAUUCACCAAAUCAGCAUACCCCGGUUCACUUACCUUGACGGACAUCAGUUGCUCAUCUGGGAAUGUCUCCAUGAUAGGUACGGCAUCCUCCUCAUGUACCAUACGGCUCAAGUGGUCAGCCACCACGUUUUCACUUCCCUUAUUGUCCCGGAUUUCGAUAUCGAACUCUUGGAGAAGAAGCAUCCAACGAAUGAGUCGUGGUUUAGCCUCCUUCUUGGUGAACAAAUAAUUCAAUGCUGCAUGGUCAGUAUAAAUAAUAACUUUAGCACCAAGCAAAUAAGAACGGAAUUUAUCUAAAGCAAAUACAACAGCUAGAAGUUCUUUUUCAGUGGUGGAAUAAUUCAAUUGUGCAUCAUUUAAAGUCCGAGAGGCAUAAUAGAUAGCAUGCGGCCUCUUGUCCUUCCUUUGCCCCAAAACAGCUCCUAAUGCAUAAUCGGAAGCGUCGCACAUAAGCUCAAAAGGAAGGCUCCAAUCCGGUGGAACUAUGAUAGGGGCCGAAGUUAGCAUGUCCUUUAGGUGUGAUUGAACGCCUUCUCUCACACUCCUUGUUGAAGUCAAACGCCACAUCUUUCUGGAGGAGACGGCAAAGAGGGUUUGAGAUCUUGGAGAAGUCCUUGAUAAAUCGCCUAUAAAAUCCUGCAUGACCAAGAAACGAACGAACCUCUCGAACCGAAGUAGGAGAGGGUAAGUAGCGUACAAGAUCUAUUUUCGAUUUAUCCACUUCAAUUCCUCUUUCUGAAACAAUAUGCCCUAGAACUAUGCCUUGUCUAACCAUAAAGUGACAUUUUUCCCAAUUAAGCACAAGGUUAGUUUCUACACAUCGUUUCAGAAUUAUUGUGAGAUUUUCCAAACAUCCAUCAAAUGAAUCACCAAACACACUGAAAUCAUCCAUAAAUACCUCAAUAAUCUUUUCCACAAAAUCUGAAAAGAUACUUACCAUACACCUUUGAAAUGUGGCCGGAGCAUUGCAUAACCCAAAAGGCAUGCGACGAUAAGCAAAGGUACCAAAGGGGCAUGUGAAAGUUGUCUUUUCUUGGUCAUCCGGCGCUAUGACAAUCUGAUUAUAUCCAGAAUAACCAUCAAGGAAACAAUAAAAAGAAUGACCGGCUAACCUUUCAAGCAUUUGAUCAAUGAACGGCAAAGGGAAGUGGUCCUUCCUUGUGGUGGCGUUGAGCUUCCUAUAAUCAAUGCACACUCGCCAACCUGUUUGGAUACGGGUUGGCACAAGCUCAUUCUCGGCAUUCUUCACCACGGUCACUCUGGACUUCUUUGGAACACAUUGCACCGGUGACACCCAACGACUAUCAGAGAUCGGAUAAAUCACUCCACAAUCAAGAAGUUUGAUAAUCUCCUUUUUCACAACUUCCAUCAUUGGAGGGUUGAGACGGCGCUGAGCCUCUCGAGUUGGUUUAGCCCCCUCCUCUAGAAGUAUGCGAUGCAUGCACGUAGUUGGGCUAAUUCCCCUAAUAUCGGCCAAAGUCCACCCAAUGGCCGUCUUGUGCUCUUUCAACACUCGGAUCAACUUCUCCUCCUCUAUGGCCGUGAGUGAUGAAGAGACAAUGACGGGCAAUGUCUCGUUGUCUCCCAGAAAAACGUACUUUAAAUGAUCGGGUAAACGGUUUAAGCUCAAGUACGGGUGCCUGAAUCACUGAGGGUAACAUCUUAUUAGUGGAAACUGGAAUUGAAAUUGGGUUAGAAGGCUUACCAUGGUGUUGAGGGAGUGACUCAAGGGCAGCCACUAUCUCGGCCUCAUCCUCACUUCUAGGCACGGCAACACCAUUUUUGUGCCCAAUUCCUUGUGCAAUUGUCGUUUCAAGUGUAUCCCUCUCCAAACAAUCGAGGAAAUCCUGCGCCAAAUCAUCAAUUAUAUCAAUAGAAAAGCAAGAAUGAUCGUCCUUAGGAAAUUUAAUACUUUCAGAAAGAUUAAAAUCAAUGACUUCCCCAUCAAAUUCCAUCGUUAAAGUUCCUUUAAACACAUCUAUCUUGGUGCGGGCUGUUUUCAUGAAGGGCCUCCCUAAUAGAAUCGGCAAUGGGGUGGAAUGGGGUGAAUCCUCCAUGUCAAGCACGUAGAAAUCCGCUGGAAAAAUCAAGUUACCAACCUGCACCAAAACAUCUUCCAAAACACCCUUGGAUAUGCAUUAGAACGAUCGGCUAAUUGAAUUAUCACAUCAUCAUUUUUAAGCUCACCUAAGUUCAUAGAUGCAUAAAUCGAGUAUGGCAUAACAUUAAUCGAAGCCCCUAAGUCUAACAUGCAGUGUUCAAACUUAGUAUUACCAAUAACGCAUGGAAUUGUAAAACUACCCGGAUCUUUGCAUUUAGGAGGUAAUUUCCUUUGUAACACAGCAGAGACGUUUUCACUUACCUGGACCACCUCUUUGUUCGAAAUCCUUCUCCUUGUUGUACAAAGUUCUUUUAAGAACUUAGCAUACCUCGGGACUUGCUUAAUCGCAUCAAGGAGCGGGAUAUUGACUUGAACUUUCCGAAAGGUCUCUAGAAUGUCCUUCUCGGCUUCUUCCUUCUUUGAUUGCCUAAACCUGCCAGGAAAGGGCACAUUCAGUGGAAUAGAACUAGAAAAAGUCGAAUUUGGACUUACCUUGGUGGUUGAGGACGAUUUAGGAGGGUUAGAGGGUGGCGGCAAGGAUUGGUCAUCCUUGGCCGUGGGUUUUGCUCUUUGUGCCUCCUCUUGCAUCAACUUGUCCUCCUCGUCUUGACUUGAUUUGGAUGUAUUUGAGUCCGCUCCAACCUGUUUACCACUUCUCAACAUGAUGGCCUUAGCGGUUUCAAAUCCUCCCUUCGGGUUCACAACGGUUGAACUAAGCAAUCUGCCUUGUUCUCUGAUUUGCCCCAUAAACUCUGCAAUUUGACCCAUCUGCUUCUCCAAGUUGUCCACCCGUUUGUCUUGGAUUUGUCUCUCCUUAUUUUGAGUUUGUACUUCCUGCGUCAAAGUAGUAAGUAACUUAACAACUUGAUCAUUAUCCAAAGACGUACCUGAGGUUGGUGGGGUGGUUUGCACUUGGUUUUGAUUGGGGACGAAUGGCUUUGUAUAAAAGCCCGGUGGUUGCUGCCUAAAUCCUCCUUGUUGUUGGGGUUGUUGAGGAUCCCGCCAUUUGAAAUUCGGAUGGUCCCUCUACCCCGGAUUGUAGGAAUUAGAGUAUGGAUCAUGGCGUGGUUGAUUUUGGUUCCCAAAACCCACGGCAUUGGCAGCUUCCCAACCCCCAUUCUCAAUCAAUUGAGGGCAUUGAUCAUUGGCAUGUCCUUGCAUCGAGCACACGCCACACACACUUGGUCCAUGAAUCUUCAUUCCCUCGGCUAACUGAGAAACAAUAGAAGUAAGGUUAGCUAAUUGGGAUUGAAUCUCGGGCAUAGAACUUACCUCAUUCACUUGUGGCCGUGGGGGGUCUCUUUGUCCAACACCUUCGUAUUGUUGUGCAUUAUGUGCUCGGUUGGCAAUUAGAACUUUUGCAGCCCCCGGAGUUUUAUCCACCAACGCACCUCCCGCCGAGGCAUCAAGCAUUUGGCGUUCCAUGGGAAGGAGUCCUUCGUAGAAGUAUUGAAUGAGCAGCUCCUCCUUCAUUUGAUGCUGUGGACAAGAAGCAACAAGUGAUUUAAAACGUUCAUAAUAAGAAGGAAACGAUUCACCUUGAUUUUGUUGGAUGCCACUAAUCCGUUUCCUCAAGAGAAUGACUCUUGAAGUUGGGAAAAACUUCUCCAAGAAAGCUCUUUUCAUACUAUCCCAAGAUGUAACCGUUCCGGGUGCUAACUCGUAAAGCCAAUCCUUCGCCUUUUCCAAAAGUGAGAAUGGAAAGGCCUUCAUCAUCAGAAUACUCCCGUCAACAUUGAUGGGUGUCAUGCUCGAACAAACAACCUCGAACUCCUUGAGAUGCUUGUUGGGAUCUUCCAUGGAAAGCCCAUGGUAUUUCGGAAUGUGGUGCAAUAAGCUUGACUUCAGCUCGAAUUCGUCGGUCUUGCCUUGGGCAGCCGCGGGGUAUUGAAUGCAUAAUGGUGCGGCAUUGGUCAACCCCGAGGCCGAAAGCUCUUUAAUGGUCCGAUUGUCCGCGGCCAUAACUUCUUCUUCCACUUCUUCAAACUCAGAUUCGGCCUCUGAACUUGAACUAGGUUCACUAGGUUCGGGAUGCCUCCUCUUUCUUCUCAAAUCACGUUCAAAAUCGUCGUUAAAGUCCAAGAUAUUUGCAUGCACAGUUUGAGAACUCCGCGUCAUGCACUAGUACCUAAACCAAGAAAAACAAACAAAAAUCAGAAAACUAGGUAAAUUAAAUCAAGACACACGGCAAAAACACAAGGGAUUAGCAAUUUUGCUAAUCCCCGGCAACGGCGCCAAAAUUUGAUGUGAAAAUUAACUUGACACACAAAUUAAACCCUACGGAUGACAAUUGUAGUAUAUGAGCAAAUAGGGAUCGUUCUAACCGGGGAUUAACUAGGGAUGCUAAUCAAUGUAAAACUGACUCAAGAACAUAAAAAUAUAAUGUAGAACACUAAACUAGACUCAAUUAAUGCAAAACUAGGGUUUAAAACACCUAAACAAACUAAAAACUCAAAACAGCAACUAAAAGGCUCAAAACUGCCUUAAAACCACUUUCUGGGCAGUUUUGAGUACCUAACACUAGUUUGGACGAAUUUGGACUAUGACUUGACUCAAAACACUUAAAAACACAACUAAAUGGAUUUCUAACUAAUCUAACACUUUAAAAUAAAUGGGGGAAUGAUUUUGACGAAAUUAAAACUUUAAAACUUAAACCUUGAAAACAAACUUAAAGCAAAACAGAUUGUGAUUAAAUAGAAUGGUGAGAAGCUAGUUAGAGGGUUCCUUAUCCACACAUGAACAUAUGCAUAUAAUUUGAUUCCCAGUUAUGACUUCAACAAACAAUGAAUGACAAUGCUUCAAGUUAAUUAGGUUCGCUUAAAUUAACUUUCAGAUUUCCCUAGAUUCAUUGGAUUGAAUGGGAUACGCAUUACAACCAAAUUAUUCCUCAUCAAAGCCCCUAACUAUGGAAUACGCAUGAUAGAGACAUUCAACAAAGAUCAUUAAGUUCAACGGAAAUCAUAAACAUCGACUAGGCAUUCAUAACUAUGGAAUACGCAUGUUAAUCCAACCUAGGGUUUACUUAAACA